GAGCUCAGAGGCAGCACAAAGUGCUCUUGAAUUGAAUGAGCAUGAGUUGUUGAAUCAUCCUGUUAGGCUUGAUUUAGCUCGUGAAAGAGGUUCAUAUAUCCUUGGUGGCAGUUUCAGCAAUUCCUUCCAGAAAAGUGAUCAGCGUUAAACUGGUCAAACUAUAUUCAUAAGGGGUUUUGAUAAAUCUCUUGGAGAAGAGAUAAGAGCUAGCCUAAAUGAGCAUUUUGGUUCCUGCAGGGAGAUCUCGAGGGUGUCAGUCCUAAAAGAUUUCGAGUCUGGAGGUCCUAAAUGUUUUGCCUACAUCAACUUCAAGGAUUUUUCUAGCAUGAAGAAAGCUCUAGAACUCAAAUGAAACUGAACUUGCUGCUUGAGAAUGAGGACAUGCUCUAUCUACUUUCUAUUGAUGAUGAUGAAGAGCAGUGCAUUCAAAUACCAUGUUGAUUUUUGGUUAUCGCUGCUAGUAUUUAACAGGUUAUGGUGGUUGAUGCUGAGGCAUACACCUAUGAUAAUGAGGUCAUUAAUAAAGCUGAAGCAAUGGGAAAGCCCAAAAAUCCUGAAGAAGAAGCUACUGUGGAAACUACUAGAGCCAUAAAACAUCAUCAAGAAAGCUAAAGCAAUGGGGAAGCCCGAAAAUCCUGAAGAAGAAGCUAUUAUGGAAACUACUAGAGCCAUAAAAGCUUCUCAGUUGUUGCUAAAUACCAUUGAAAUCCUGAAGAAGCUGGAUGCUGUACGUCUCUUAGCACAUAGUGGAGGAUGAUGAUUAGUUUGGUGAAUUGGGUGCACAUAUGUGAGGAGGUUGAUCAAAAUUAUUGUUAGAUAGGAUGGCAAAGUUAUUGGAGUUGUAAUUCAUGUAUUAGGAAUACAUUGCGAAGUUGUUAUCACUUUGAUUUUUGAUAUUUUGUUAUACUGUUACGUGAUUAAACAUUUUUUUGUGACAA
Non-coding RNA from Arachis ipaensis, 938 nucleotides. The record is from RefSeq and is a predicted model, not a curated record. Lineage: Eukaryota; Viridiplantae; Streptophyta; Magnoliopsida; Fabales; Fabaceae.